CUCCAGUUGGAUGCAUGUCCCUCUGGGAAAGAUUCAUCGGUAUGGGAUGGGGUCGCGUCCUAUCAGCUUGAUGGCGGGGUAACGGCCCACCAUGGCUUCGACGGGUAGCCGGCCUGAGAGGGCGACCGGCCACAUUGGGAAUGAGAUACGGCCCAGACUCCUACGGGAGGCAGCAGUGGGGAAUAUUGCACAAUGGGCGCAAGCCUGAUGCAGCGACGCCGCGUGCGGGAUGACGGCCUUCGGGUUGUAAACCGCUUUUGACUGGGAGCAAGCCCUUCGGGGUGAGUGUACCUUUCGAAUAAGCACCGGCUAACUACGUGCCAGCAGCCGCGGUAAUACGUAGGGUGCAAGCGUUAUCCGGAAUUAUUGGGCGUAAAGGGCUCGUAGGCGGUUCGUCGCGUCCGGUGUGAAAGUCCAUCGCUUAACGGUGGAUCCGCGCCGGGUACGGGCGGG
This 453-nucleotide ribosomal RNA is filed under the name uncultured Bifidobacterium sp. RNAcentral's name for it is "bacterial SSU rRNA". It matches the Rfam family "Bacterial small subunit ribosomal RNA", at positions 173 to 640 of the family's 1533-position model. Lineage: Bacteria; Bacillati; Actinomycetota; Actinomycetes; Bifidobacteriales; Bifidobacteriaceae. The record is from RNAcentral.